Molecule: long non-coding RNA, 1491 nt
Organism: Pan troglodytes (chimpanzee)
Lineage: Eukaryota; Metazoa; Chordata; Mammalia; Primates; Hominidae
Exons: 2
Source: RefSeq, a predicted model, not a curated record
UGGUUUUGUUUUAUUUUGUUUUUAACAAUAGUCAUCCUGAGAGUAGUACUUUUAAAACCAGAAAUAAGUAAGAAAAGAAAUAUUCCCCAGAGCUUCUCCAGGCUACAGUCUAUGCCACCAGGAAAGACUGAAUCAUUGAGACCCAUAGGAAAGCGUGUGCUGGGAGGUCCCCGUGGGCACCAGGGAGGUGUGUUUGAACUCCAGCCCAGCCCACAUUAGCUUACCCAACAGUCCCCCAGAGCCAGCACAAUUUCAGGCCAUAAUCUCCCUGGUCACCACUGGCUCCUCAGGUGACUUGGAAGUAGAUGACUCCUCUGUGGGCGUGGGUUAGUGCCUCAAAGGCAUGCUGACCAGCACUGGUUUGGGCCAGGCUGAGAUGCUAGCCACACUCCUAUGCCCAUCCCCAAGUUCAAAGGUCAGAAGUCCCCUGAGAACAUCCAGGGUCACUACCCCUGAGGUCUCUGGUGUACUACGUGGCCCUGAUUAGGGCAAAGGGAAGUGAUCUGAGGGCCACUCUCUUCCUGUACAUACAGGGCCUUGCUGCUCUUGAGGGAUUGUCCUGGCAGGAUCAAAAGCAGCUCCUGCAUGGGGAUGCCCUGUCCUCCUGCUGUUAUCAUAGUAUGCCCUGUGCUCCCAGGAGGAGGCCGAGGUAUGUCCUGGGGACAGAAACAACAAGCUUAGGGUUAUUUGGGCACUCCCUUGUCUCCUGUCUGAGAGCGUGCAGGGUGGAGUCAUGCUAUCUUGCUGUGUGAUGACAAGUAGCUGACAAUGCAGGGGCACAAUAAAAACCCCCGAAUGGCCCACAUCUGAGGAGCGAGGGUUUGGUGAGCUGCUGGUUCUGAGAUAAUGGAUUAGUGAUAUGGGAACAAAAGACCUAGGACCUGGAAUCAUAAGAUCACAGGGCAUUAGGGUUGGAGGGAACAACCUUGUCUCUCAGCCCUAAUUCCUUUGAUAUCAUUUAACGAAUGAUCUUAACUCUAGGCUAACAGCCCUCGAGCUCAGGCACACCAUUUGUUUGUUCAUCAUUGUAAUUGCAGGAUGUGGUAGCUAGCCCUCACAAUGGUGGCUGAUGUGUGAUCAAUAGGCUAUGUCAUGGUAUUUCACUUCUAAGUCUAGGUCAUAAAGGGCAUUGUGGCACCUACCUUGAUUUCUCUCGGAUCACUCAUUCUGAGGGAAGAUAGCUGCCAUGUUGGGAGGACGUGCAAGCAGCCCUGUGAAGAGGUCAACACAGGGGGGAACUGAAGCCCCUUCCGAACAGCUAGCACCAACUUGCCAGACAGGAAAUCUUCCCACAGACUCAUUCAUGGAACCCCAAACCAUAUGGAGAAAAUUGAGCCAGAGAUGUGUUAUACUUCACAGCUGCCUUGGGUUGAAGAAUCUUGGCUGGUUUCUGAAAGGGCAGAAGUCUUGUCUAUGUUUAUUCUUGAACAGUCAGUGCCUAGCAUGAUGACUAGAACUUAGUAGGUAUUCAAUAAAUAUUUGUUGACUGAA